This is a long non-coding RNA of Zingiber officinale, 332 nucleotides long. RefSeq lists it as uncharacterized. The record is from RefSeq and is a predicted model, not a curated record. The transcript is spliced from 2 exons. Lineage: Eukaryota; Viridiplantae; Streptophyta; Magnoliopsida; Zingiberales; Zingiberaceae.
AGGGCUCUUUAUUUAGCACAAGACACUUCUUUCUUCUUCUUCCCUGUGGCAUCCUUGCAGAAAAUGCAGGUGGAUUGAAGGGAGGGAGGGAGCUCUUUAUUUUGAAUCUGUUGCUGUUGAUGAUACAAUGAAAUGUUAGUGAAAAUGCAUAGAAAUGACUCCAUGGUUUGAGUUCUUUCUGUGUAAGUUGGAAGGAAUUGCAUAUCUAUUUGGAAGGAGGAAGGAUUGAAUUCCAAUUUGCCUACUAAAAUUCAAUGAUUUUGACUAGUUGAACUGGAAUACUUUUAAUGUAAACUAUGAUAAGCAAUUAAAGUAAAAAAGUUAUAUUUCAA